Molecule: long non-coding RNA, 2198 nt
Filed under: Gallus gallus (chicken)
Lineage: Eukaryota; Metazoa; Chordata; Aves; Galliformes; Phasianidae
Description: lncRNA (ENSGALG00010025952.1)
Source: RNAcentral
UAUGAAGGAAGGAGGAUUGCUGGACUGAACGCCAGAAGGAAUAUGGAUUUCUGGGCUCAAAGCCAAAAGGCAAGGUCCUUGCUGGGCCAAAAGGAAAAAAGAAGGGUUUUCUGCUCCCAAACACAGCAGGAAAAUAGCAUGUAAGGUCUUAUGCAGAAGAAAGGAGGAGUGCUGGGGAACAAACCAGAAGGAAGGGAUCUUGCUGCACUGAAACCCAGAAAGACAGGGACUUUCUGGGGAGAAACUCGGAAGGAAGAGGACUUGCGGGAAAAAAAAGGCAGAAAGAUUUAGGCAUCCUGUGCCAAAACCCUGAAGGAAGGGAGGUUGCUCAUCUGUACCCAGAAAGACGUGGGAGUGCUGGACCACAGAACAAAAAGAAGGGGCUUUUCUGGACUGAAACUCAGAAGGAAGGUGAUUGCUGGUCAGAAUUGCAAAUGGAAAGGGUUGCUUCUUGGGCCAAACCCAAAAAGGAAGAAAGCUGGCUGGUCACAAAGGCAGAAGGAAUGGCCCUCUUCUCCGCAAAUCAAGUAAUAGCAGGUGCUUGCAUAUCAAUACACAGAAGAAAGAAGGCGUCCUGGGCCAGAAACCAAAAAUAAGGGCCUUGCUGGACUGAUACCCAGAAGAAAGGUGGCUUCCUGGGCAGAAACAAAGAAGGAAGGUGGCAGGGUGGGCAGACAGCCAGAAGGAACGGGGCUUCCUAGGCCAAAACGGAGAAGGAAAGGGGCUUGCUGGGCAGAAAUCCAUAAAGCAGAGUUCUUGCUGGGCAGAAACCAAGAAGGAAGCGGGUUCACUGGGAAGAAACCCAGAUCGAAGAGGUCUUGCUGGGCCCAAAGCCAGAAAAAAUUGGACUUGCUAUGCUGAAAGGGUGAAGAAAAGGAGUUUGAAUUGCCAAACGUCAGAAGGAAUGUGGCUUUGUGGGCCCAAAGCCAUAAGGAAAGGUCCCUGUUGGGACAAAAUGAAUAAAGAAUGGGUUUUCUGCUCCCACACCCAGAAGGAAGAGGGCUUGUAAGGCCAUACCCAGAAGAGAGGGGGAGUGCUGGACAACAAACCAGAGGGAAGGAGUCUUGCGGGACUGAAAACCCUGAAAAAGGGGACUUUCUGGAGCGAAAUUCAGAAGGAAAGGGGUUUGCAGGGAAAAAAGCAGGAAGAAAGGGGCAUCCUGUGUCGAAACCCAGAAGGAAGGGGUCUUACUGGACUGAAACCCAGAUGCAAAGGAAACUGGCUUGCUGGGAAAAAAGGCAGGAAGAUAGGGUCAUCCUGUGCGGAAACCCAGAAGGAAGUGGGCUUGCUGGUCCAUACCCAGAAAGAAGUGUGAGUGCUGGACAACAAAGCAUAAAGAAGGGGUUUUGCUGGACUGAAACGCAGAAGUAAGGGGUCUUGCUGGGCAGAAAAUCUGAGGAAAGAGAGAUUUCUGGGCCAAAACACAGAAGGAAGGGGCCUUCCUGUUGAAGGUUAUUUGUGGUCAGAAAUGUAAAUGGAAGUGGUUGAUUGCUGGGCCAAACCCAAGAGGGAAGACGGCUUGCUGGACUUAAAGGCAGAAGGAAUGGGCUUUCCAGUGCCCAAACCCAGUAAGAAAGCAGGCCUGUAGCUCCAUAUCCAGAAACAAUUGGGAGUGCUUUGCCACAAAGCAAAGGAAGUGGUCUAGCUGGACUUAAACGCAGGAGAAAGUCAACAUGCUGGGCAGAAGUCCACAAGCAAAGGCACUGCUGGACAGAAACCAAGAAGGAAUAGAUCUUGCUGGACUGAAACUCAGAUGGAAGGGUACUGGCUAGGAAAAAAGGCAAGGAAAAAAUGGGCAUAAUGUGCCAAAACCCAGAAUGAAGGGGUCUUGUGGGUUCAUAUCCAGAAAAAAUCAGGUGUGCUGGGCCACAAAGCAAAAAGAAGGGGUCUUGUUGAACUGAAACGCAGAAAGAAGUGGAUAUGCUUGGCAGGAAUCUGCAAGCAAUUGACAUUGCUAGACAGAAACCAAAAGUAAUGGGUCUCGCUGCAAAGAAACCCGGAAGGAAGGGGACUUUCUAGGGCUAAACUCAGAUGGAAGAGCGUCUGCUGUGAAAAAAGGCAGGAAGAAAUGGGCAUCCUGUGUCUAAACUCCAUAUGGAAUGGUGCUUGCUGAUCUGUACCCAGAAGGAAGCAGGAGUGAGGGAGCACAAAGCAUAAAGGAGGCGUUUUGCUGGACUGAAAUGCAGAAGGAAGGGAAC